Molecule: small nuclear RNA, 104 nt
Organism: Cercocebus atys (sooty mangabey)
Lineage: Eukaryota; Metazoa; Chordata; Mammalia; Primates; Cercopithecidae
Source: Ensembl
GUGCUUGCUCUGGCAGCACACACACUAAAAUCAGAAUGGCAGAGAAGGUUACAUGGCCCCUGAGCAGGAAGGAUACACAAAUUUGUGAAUCAUUCCAUAUUUUU